Molecule: ribosomal RNA, 301 nt
Filed under: uncultured bacterium
Lineage: Bacteria
Description: partial 16S ribosomal RNA
Rfam family: Bacterial small subunit ribosomal RNA
Source: RNAcentral
CAGCAGCCGCGGUAAUACAGAGGGUGCGAGCGUUAAUCGGAUUUACUGGGCGUAAAGCGUGCGCAGGCGGUUAUAUAAGACAGAUGUGAAAUCCCCGGGCUCAACCUGGGAACUGCAUUUGUGACUGUAUAGCUAGAGUACGGCAGAGGGGGAUGGAAUUCCGCGUGUAGCAGUGAAAUGCGUAGAUAUGCGGAGGAACACCGAUGGCGAAGGCAAUCCCCUGGGCCUGUACUGACGCUCAUGCACGAAAGCGUGGGGAGCAAACAGGAUUAGAUACCCCAGUAGUCCCUGUCUCUUAUAC